GGCCUGAUAGUAGAGUUGACAUUGUGCUGGAUUACAGUAAAUGGCUGAACAUGUUCCAUCCGGAGACCCUCGUUCGACUUGAGGUCGGGCCG
Non-coding RNA from Mycena vulgaris, 92 nucleotides. The record is from the annotation of a GenBank genome assembly. Lineage: Eukaryota; Fungi; Basidiomycota; Agaricomycetes; Agaricales; Mycenaceae.